Xyrichtys novacula (pearly razorfish) is the source of this 168-nucleotide non-coding RNA. NCBI's taxonomy places the organism in Eukaryota, Metazoa, Chordata, Actinopteri, Labriformes, Labridae. The record is from the annotation of a GenBank genome assembly.
CAGGAAUCCUAUUCUUUUUGAGCACCAUGGUUAGGAGGAUAAACUAUAAACACAGUACUGUGUUUAUCGUUUAUCCUCCUAACCAUGGUGCUAAAAAAGAAUAGGAUUCCUGGUAUAAUAAAGGUAGGUGUGUUGGCCUGAUAAACACAGUAUUUUCAUACUGUGUUU